GAUGAACGCUGGCGGCGUGCCUAAUACAUGCAAGUCGAGCGAACGGACGAGAAGCUUGCUUCUCUGAUGUUAGCGGCGGACGGGUGAGUAACACGUGGAUAACCUACCUAUAAGACUGGGAUAACUUCGGGAAACCGGAGCUAAUACCGGAUAAUAUUUUGAACCGCAUUGUUCAAAAGUGAAAGACGGUCUUUCUGUCACUUAUAGAUGGAUCCGCGCUGCAUUAGUUAGUUGGUAAGGUAACGGCUUACCAAGGCAACGAUGCAUAGCCGACCUGAGAGGGUCGACGGCCACCCGGGAAGUGAGAAAGGGCCGAGACUCCGAGGGGAGGAAGCAGUAGGGACUCUUCCGCGAGGGACGAAAGCCUGACGGAGCAACGCCGCGGGAGGGAUGAAGGUCUUCGGAUCGUAAAGCGCUGUAGUUAGGGAGGUACAUAUGUGUAAGUAACUGUGCACAUCUUGACGGUACCUAAUCAGAAAGCCACGGCUAACUACGUG
Molecule: ribosomal RNA, 497 nt
Filed under: uncultured bacterium
Lineage: Bacteria
Description: partial 16S ribosomal RNA
Rfam family: Bacterial small subunit ribosomal RNA
Source: RNAcentral